RNAcentral lists this long non-coding RNA (433 nucleotides) under Malus domestica (apple). RNAcentral describes it as "long non-coding RNA (MDOM_LNC017128)". Lineage: Eukaryota; Viridiplantae; Streptophyta; Magnoliopsida; Rosales; Rosaceae. The record is from RNAcentral.
AUUAAUAUAUCAAACUAAUUGAUUAAAAAAACCCAAUUAUGACCUCCAGCUGAUGUCAAUGUCCAUGUGGCCGCGGUGGUCUAAAUUCUGGUCUCCAAGGACCGUAAUCAUGGUAAGGAUGAUGGAACGGGCGAGUUGGAUGAGAAGGUAGAAGAUAAUUAUAUUCUGCCAUGGGCGGUGGCGGAGGAGGAGGAUGAGGAGGUGGCGGUGGCGGUGGCGGAGGUAGAUAAUAGGCAUGAACAUGAUCAUCUGCUGGGGGUAGCACCGGUGGUGGCGGAGGAGGAUUAUAAUUGUAAUGCGCAUUACUAGUAUGAGUUUGAUGUAAUUCCAUUAGCGAGCUGGCCGGAUUGCAGACUUGGGUACUGCUGUUGAACUUGUUGUGGUAGCCGGCGCUGCUAAUAUUGCUAUUGCUAAUACAUAUAUCAUCGUCAUC